CAGUCGCCGCGGGAAUACGUAGGGGGCAAGCGUUAUCCGGAUUUACUGGGCGUAAAGCGUGCGCAGGCGGUUUUGUAAGACAGGCGUGAAAUCCCCGGGCUCAACCUGGGAAUGGCGCUUGCGACUGUAAAGCUAGAGUGCGGCAGAGGGGGAUGGAAUUCCGCGUGUAGCAGUGAAAUGCGUAGAUAUGCGGAGGAACACCGAUGGCGAAGGCAAUCCCCUGGGCCUGCACUGACGCUCAUGCACGAAAGCGUGGGGAGCAAACAGGAUUAGAUACCCGAGUAGUCCCUGUCUCUUAUAC
Molecule: ribosomal RNA, 301 nt
Filed under: uncultured bacterium
Lineage: Bacteria
Description: partial 16S ribosomal RNA
Rfam family: Bacterial small subunit ribosomal RNA
Source: RNAcentral